This 73-nucleotide transfer RNA is filed under the name Camelus bactrianus (Bactrian camel). It matches the Rfam family "tRNA". From Rfam's summary of the family: Transfer RNA (tRNA) molecules are approximately 80 nucleotides in length. Their secondary structure includes four short double-helical elements and three loops (D, anti-codon, and T loops). Lineage: Eukaryota; Metazoa; Chordata; Mammalia; Artiodactyla; Camelidae. RNAcentral also lists the same sequence under 1 other name. The record is from Rfam by way of RNAcentral.
GAAGGUAUAGCUCAGUUAGUAGAGUGUGUGCCUAGCAUGCACAAGGUCCUGGGUUCAAUCCCCAGUAACUCCA